GAGCUCAGAUGCAAAGAAAUGAAGCCAAGCAAAACACAAUGCUGCAUAAAUUGGAAAGGGGGAAAAAUGCAGGAACUAUGACCACAAAAUCAUCCUUUAAUCUCACACUCUUUCAGAACAAAAAUGGGAAUGAAGCGGAACAUAGCUUCACUAGGGGUUAUGUCCCAAGUUGCAAAGACAGUACAACAACACCCUCAAGCAAUGAAAAAGAAGAUAGAUCGCAAAAAAGAUCAUAUUACCGUAAAAACCCUAGAGAAGGCAGAGAGAGGUUGACUCUAGCACUAAAACGCAAAAACCCUAGAAAAUGAGGUAGAAG
Molecule: unclassified non-coding RNA, 316 nt
Filed under: Hevea brasiliensis (rubber tree)
Lineage: Eukaryota; Viridiplantae; Streptophyta; Magnoliopsida; Malpighiales; Euphorbiaceae
Source: RNAcentral